GAUGAACGCUAGCUACAGGCUUAACACAUGCAAGUCGAGGGGUAACGAGAGGAAAGCUUGCUUUCCUUGUCGACGACCGGCGCACGGGUGAGUAACGCGUAUCCAACCUGCCCCCAACUAGGGAAUAACCUUGCGAAAGUAAGACUAAUACCCUAUAAUUUCCUCAGAUGUCAUCUGACGAGGAAUAAAGAUUUAUCGGUUGUGGAUGGGGAUGCGUCUGAUUAGCUUGUUGUCGGGGUAACGGCCCACCAAGGCAACGAUCAGUAGGGGUUCUGAUAGGAAGGACCCCCACAUUGGAACUGGGACACAGUCCAAACUCCUACGGGAGGCAGAAGUGAGGAAUAUUGGUCAAUGGGCGGAAGCCUGAACCAGCCAAGUAGCGUGCAGGAUGACGGCCCUAUGGGUUGUAGACUGCUUUUAUACAGGAAUAAAGUUAGCCACGUGUGGUUAUGUGUAGGUACUGUAUGAAUAAGGACCGGCUAAUUCCGUGCCAGCAGCCGCCGUAA
RNAcentral lists this ribosomal RNA (506 nucleotides) under uncultured bacterium. Its description in RNAcentral is "partial 16S ribosomal RNA". It matches the Rfam family "Bacterial small subunit ribosomal RNA", at positions 28 to 523 of the family's 1533-position model. The record is from RNAcentral.